GUUAGUCAAACCAUCCUCGUCUGUGUCGGGGAGGCGUUCUCCUCUAAUUCAAGCCACGAUCAGCAGUGGAAAUUCUGUUUGACUCAGCUGCGCAGCCUUUAGCCCCCUGUGGCUGCAGCCCGCAGUGGUGGUCUGGCCCUUCACAGCCUCGGUUCAGGUUCCUCACCAGACGAGGAAUAACGGCGGCUCUCCCAGGCUCCCGCUGGCUCGCCAUUUAGGCGAAAGAAAACUUCGCCGUCGGCUGCGUGAGUGUGGCUACGGCAACAUCUGGUGGUUCAAUCCAGAUGUGGGUCCAGAUUAUAAAACUGUCACAGAUUCCAGUUGAAACUCGUCAAGCUUUGAUCUUUCUCCUACGCCGUCCGCCGUCCACGUUUGCUGCUCUUCCUCCAGCACCAUGUUGACAUGACAACAGGGUCUGAGGCAGCUGAGGCCUCAACAGACGGACCGUUCAGGGUGAUCUCUUCAGGAGAUCUGCUCCUAAAUGGCAGUGACAGAUUGCGCCACAUUUGGGAGCUCACUUCAAAGCAGAAGCUUCGCUCAAAGCAGUGUGAGCCCCUCAGAGUGGAAGCA
Molecule: long non-coding RNA, 570 nt
Filed under: Takifugu rubripes (torafugu)
Lineage: Eukaryota; Metazoa; Chordata; Actinopteri; Tetraodontiformes; Tetraodontidae
Description: lncRNA (ENSTRUG00000028259.1)
Source: RNAcentral